Molecule: long non-coding RNA, 1206 nt
Organism: Felis catus (domestic cat)
Lineage: Eukaryota; Metazoa; Chordata; Mammalia; Carnivora; Felidae
Exons: 2
Source: RefSeq, a predicted model, not a curated record
CAUGACCUGAGCUGAAGUCAGACGCGCAACCUACUGAGCCACCCAGGUGUCCUUCAAAGUCAGAUUUCACAGUGUCAGAGAAGACUCUUGAACACCACUGAUGGAGACGUUGGUUGUUCGUGGGACACCCGUGAGCUCCCCUCUAUUUCUCAGCCCUCUUACAGUAGGAGGGACCGUGAUGCUGGCCUGGCCAAUUGGAUAUGGACACUUAAGGGCCACGCAUGACCCUCCCGUGGGUGUUCACCCCUGCAGCAGCUGCGGGGGACUGUGGAGAUGUCCCGUCCCAGACGGUACAGCCUCGAUUUAUCUGUGUCCCUGAAUACUUGGUAGAGUAGAGCCCAUUGCUAACUUGUCGUAGACAGAUAUUGUGAAUAAGAAAUAAACUGUCAUGCUAAGCUACUGAGUUUCAGGGGUCAAUUUGUUACCACAACAUAGUUUAUGCUAUUUGUAACUACAACAUGGUAUUUGUUACCACAACAUAGCUUAUACUGUUGAAAACUUUUUUUGUUUUGUAUUGAGAGCUUUGUAUUUUUUAAGAUGAUGAACAUAAAGUAUUAUUUGGCAGAAAUGUCUUUAUUAGAAUCCCGACUUUGUGGAAAGGAUGUAGCAACACAUAUGAAGAGUAGUACAGGAGAGUCAUCUGGCCAGAUGUAAUCUUCCUCAAACUGAACUGAGGACCUUAAGGGAGAUUCAUGCAGAGAUGUGAAACAUGGGAUUCCUCUUUCUGCUUAAGAGCUGUUCCAGGCGUUACUGACUCCGCCUCCUACCUUGUGCCUGCCCCUAACCCCGGAAAUUACCUUUAUUCCCUUCUACAAGGACUUUCAGCGUAAGAGAUUUUUGUAAACCUGGAUGCGUGGGAAGGAACCGAAGACAAAACUCACAGUCAUUUUAAGUUGAAAAUGUCCAAGUAAACAAUAUUAAAUGAUAAUUGGGCACUUAGAUUUCUGUAGCUCCCUGCGGCCGUCCCAACAGCAUCCUAUUUGAAGAUUCUGCAGAUGACACUGGUCUAAGGUUCAUUGGAAGUGACUGACUGAACCGUGAAUGUGGUCGGAACACAGCAUUUGUGGAUCAAGAAAACAGCCAGCAAGGACUUUGAUUCUCCCCUUCUAUGUGACAACUUAAUUUUUUUUUAUUAUGUUUUAAAACGGUAUGAAUUGUAAGUUGCAUAUUUUUGUUUGGAAAAUACAGAUUUAAAUAUUUUUUUAA